AGUUAAGGCUGAGGCGUGAUGACGAGGCACCACGGUGCUGAAGUGACAAAUGCCCUGCUUCCAGGAAAAGCCUCUAAGCAUCAGGUAACAUCAAAUCGUACCCCAAACCGACACAGGUGGUCAGGUAGAGAAUACCAAGGCGCUUGAGAGAACUCGGGUGAAGGAACUAGGCAAAAUGGUGCCGUAACUUCGGGAGAAGGCACGCUGACAUGUAGGUGAAGCCCCUGCGGGUGGAGCUGAAGUCAGUCGAAGAUACCAGCUGGCUGCAACUGUUUAUUAAAAACACAGCACUGUGCAAACACGAAAGUGGACGUAUACGGUGUGACGCCUGCCCGGUGCCGGAAGGUUAAUUGAUGGGGUUAUCGCAAGAGAAGCUCCUGAUCGAAGCCCCGGUAAACGGCGGCCGUAACUAUAACGGUCCUAAGGUAGCGAAAUUCCUUGUCGGGUAAGUUCCGACCUGCACGAAUGGCGUAAUGAUGGCCAGGCUGUCUCCACCCGAGACUCAGUGAAAUUGAACUCGCUGUGAAGAUGCAGUGUACCCGCGGCAAGACGGAAAGACCCCGUGAACCUUUACUACAGCUUGACACUGAACAUUGAGCCUUGAUGUGUAGGAUAGGUGGGAGGCUUUGAAGCGUGGACGCCAGUCUGCGUGGAGCCGACCUUGAAAUACCACCCUUUAAUGUUUGAUGUUCUAACCUGGCGCCGUGAUCCGGCGUGGGGACAGUGUCUGGUGGGUAGUUUGACUGGGGCGGUCUCCUCCCAAAGUGUAACGGAGGAGCACGAAGGUCAGCUAAUCCUGGUCGGACAUCAGGAGGUUAGUGCAAUGGCAUAAGCUGGCUUGACUGCGAGAGUGACGGCUCGAGCAGGUGCGAAAGCAGGUCAUAGUGAUCCGGUGGUUCUGUAUGGAAGGGCCAUCGCUCAACGGAUAAAAGGUACUCCGGGGAUAACAGGCUGAUACCGCCCAAGAGUUCAUAUCGACGGCGGUGUUUGGCACCUCGAUGUCGGCUCAUCACAUCCUGGGGCUGAAGUAGGUCCCAAGGGUAUGGCUGUUCGCCAUUUAAAGUGGUACGCGAGCUGGGUUUAGAACGUCGUGAGACAGUUCGGUCCCUAUCUGCCGUGGGCGCUGGAGAAUUGAGGGGGGCUGCUCCCAGUACGAGAGGACCGGAGUGGACGCAUCACUGGUGUUCGGGUUGUCAUGCCAAUGGCACUGCCCGGUAGCUAAAUGCGGAAGAGAUAAGUGCUGAAAGCAUCUAAGCACGAAACUUGCCCCGAGAUGAGUUCUCCCUGAGACUAUAAGUCUCCUGAAGGAACGUUGAAGACGACGACGUUGAUAGGCCGGGUGUGUAAGCGCAGCGAUGCGUUGAGCUAACCGGUACUAAUGAACCGUGAGGCUUAACCUU
Molecule: ribosomal RNA, 1400 nt
Filed under: Cronobacter sakazakii
Lineage: Bacteria; Pseudomonadati; Pseudomonadota; Gammaproteobacteria; Enterobacterales; Enterobacteriaceae
Description: partial 23S ribosomal RNA
Rfam family: Bacterial large subunit ribosomal RNA
Source: RNAcentral